Molecule: ribosomal RNA, 538 nt
Filed under: Weissella sp. DumLac16
Lineage: Bacteria; Bacillati; Bacillota; Bacilli; Lactobacillales; Lactobacillaceae
Description: bacterial SSU rRNA
Rfam family: Bacterial small subunit ribosomal RNA
Source: RNAcentral
CAAGUCGAACGCUUUGUGGUUCAACUGAUUUGAAGAGCUUGCUCAGAUAUGACGAUGGACAUUGCAAAGAGUGGCGAACGGGUGAGUAACACGUGGGAAACCUACCUCUUAGCAGGGGAUAACAUUUGGAAACAGAUGCUAUACCGUAUAACAAUGACAACCGCAUGGUUGUUAUUUAAAAGAUGGUUCUGCUAUCACUAAGAGAUGGUCCCGCGGUGCAUUAGCUAGUUGGUAAGGUAAUGGCUUACCAAGGCGAUGAUGCAUAGCCGAGUUGAGAGACUGAUCGGCCACAAUGGGACUGAGACACGGCCCAUACUCCUACGGGAGGCAGCAGUAGGGAAUCUUCCACAAUGGGCGAAAGCCUGAUGGAGCAACGCCGCGUGUGUGAUGAAGGGUUUCGGCUCGUAAAACACUGUUGUAAGAGAAGAAUGACAUUGAGAGUAACUGUUCAAUGUGUGACGGUAUCUUACCAGAAAGGAACGGCUAAUACGUGCCAGCAGCCGCGGUAAUACGUAUGUUCCAAGCGUUAUCCGGAUUU